This 2180-nucleotide ribosomal RNA is filed under the name Triticum aestivum (bread wheat). RNAcentral's name for it is "partial small subunit ribosomal RNA". The record is from RNAcentral. Lineage: Eukaryota; Viridiplantae; Streptophyta; Magnoliopsida; Poales; Poaceae.
UUGUUUCCCUCAUGUAGUACAUACUUGGUACACUGCUUGCCUUGAUGGGUUGCAAAAGUGGGCAACUAGCUCAGCUCCCGCCGGCUCUGCAUGCGCGGGCCCGAUGGCUCGGCAUUGGACACACCUGCUGACGUGCAAAGGCAAAGCUGUUCUCCCUUCUUUUUGGACGCUUGCCUGCCGAGUGCUCAGCGCCCAGGGCCAGGUCGUCCCUCAGAAGGAUCGGGCUCGCUCGCUCGCCACGGUGCGCCGGCGCCGUCCCGUGCCACCGUUCGGCGGUUUUAUCCGUAGGGCCAGAGCGCUCUUGGUCGGUGGGUGUAGUGUCGGUUCUUCGCCGCCGCUCCCGCUCGCCCGCUAUUUUAGCGCCGGAGAGAGGAGAGCCGAAGCUAAGGGUAGAAGCGGAGCGGUUGAGGUUGAGAGAGAGAGAGCGAAGGAGCCGUUGUCCUGCUUGUUGAGACCAAACUCGUGUGUGCGUUUACCCAUAGAAGUCACCUUGCGGAGGAGGCUCGACGGGUAGUCGAGGCGUAACACGCCUUACCCGAUUUCAGAUAGACUUCAUGACAGACACGUCAUGUUUCCUACCACAACGGGACCCAGAACCUGACCGAUCACAGGAGUCAACCCCAUAGCGGCUCCACGGCGUCUAGUAUUGUUUAAUGUUUGUCUUCAGUUGUCUUCCGGAAAGAUAACGGAAAGACUACUGGACCUAUCAACCCCUGAACAAAUUGGAACAGCCGACAAAGGACCUUGGACGAUGAGACGGCUGUGUCAAAAUGUACCGUAACGAUAUAUGGUAGUGUUGAUACUAAGAAUGACCUGUCUGUUAUAUGAUAUCGGUGUAGAUGGUAGAAUUUCAUUUCUUUUGACCCUGUUGACGGUUCAGAGUCUUUGUAGUUGCUCCCCUACGAAGUAACGCGCUUUUCGAAAACCCUGUAUCCCUGCUCCGCAAGUUUUUAUUAUAAGUCAGUCCAGGCUAAUAAGGAUAGGGCUCGAGUGGAUAGGUCCACUUGUGUCUUCAUAAGGCCGUUGAAGUACCAAGUCAGUCGGGGCCGAGUCUAAUGAUGAUACGCAGUCGUUCUAGAGAUAGCUCCUCGGGUCACGGAUGUCCAUGUACCAACCCCUUAUUAGCGGUCCGUUGUUUUCAAGGAGGUGUUUACUUGCUGCUUCCACGUAGAAAUAAACCGCUCAAACAAGGUCGUGUCAGACGUGGUCGACGAUAAUGUUUUCUAAGGGAGAGUCACCAUGGUACCUAAAGACAACAGAACCCGUACACACACAACGUAUAAAACCAACCUUGGCGCGUAUCCCUGCGAAGGUUACUUUAAUAGUAGGGACAGCCGUCUUUCGAGAAUCAACAUCGCCUACUGGUACGUCCAAGUAGAGACUUGGUACCGUCACCUUCACCUUAACCUUCGAAAGAACCAACCCGGUACCGUCAAUAGAUAUACCCGCCUGCUGAAGGGGUCUAGAAGAAUUUAUACGUUUCUCCGGUACGGCUCCCCGAGUCAGGCGAUUACAAAUGGAAACGAAAUCACCCCUUAUGCUGUAUACAACCCUCAUAGGAACACUUAUCAAACCUGACCCGUGCUGAAUCUGGUUUAGACGGCACCGAACAUCUACGACCUCCUACGCAAAACGAACUAAGAAAGUAAUAAGAAGUCAAGGAAAUAAAAGUAAUGGCCUUCGUUUCACCCGCACUACUUGAACUGUUAAACCUAUUUCGGAUUACGUGUCGUUUGUUUCAUAAAGUAAAGAAAAGAAGUUACCUUUUCUGUACCUCGAUGGUGGACGCACCCCUAACACGUAAAAAGAACCUUUCGACGCGUUAUCGGUGAGGGGCACGUCUUGACGUCUCUGUUCCAAGUGUGCGAAUUAAACGCCACUUACUCGACGCCGCGGCGUACCAAUUCCCUACUUUAGACAAUUCCCUAUCUACGUCGUCAGACGGCACAAUCUUAUGGUUUUUACAUACACAGUACAUGAGUCCCAGUACGAUAUAGACAUGUAGCAUACCACUAAACGUCAAGAAGUACGAUAGAGAUAAAAACAUCACCACAGCAGAACACAUCCGGUAACAACAGCCUACGAGUCUAAGUUUAUGCGCAGCUCCGGGGUAGGAAACUGAGAUUUAUACCAAUACGUAAUGGUUUUUCGGAGAAUCGCCUCUUAGAGAAGAUUUGCGA